CCUACGGGAGGCAGCAGUGGGGAAUCUUGCGCAAUGGGCGAAAGCCUGACGCAGCAACGCCGCGUGCGGGAAGAAGGCCUUCGGGUUGUAAACCGCUUUCAGCAGGAACGAAAAUGACGGUACCUGCAGAAGAAGGAGCGGCCAACUACGUGCCAGCAGCCGCGGUGACACGUAGGCUCCAAGCGUUGUCCGGAUUUAUUGGGCGUAAAGAGCUCGUAGGCGGUUCAGUAAGUCGGGUGUGAAAACUCUGGGCUCAACCCAGAGCCUGCAUUCGAAACUGCUGUGACUAGAGUUUGGUAGGGGAGCGGGGAAUUCCUAGUGUAGCGGUGAAAUGCGCAGAUAUUAGGAGGAACACCGGUGGCGAAAGCGCCGCUCUGGGCCAAUACUGACGCUGAGGAGCGAAAGCGUGGGUAGCAAACAGGAUUAGAUACCCUGGUAGUCCACGCCGUAAACGGUGGUCGGACACGUAGGUGGUACGGUUACCAACGUACGUAACGUCCGCGUCCGUCGUACGUACGACUAAGUUAGUCCGCCCCGUCCGGGUAGGGUACGGUCCGGGUCGACGUUAAACGACCUAAAACUUAAGUAGUAAGUACGGACCGGCGAGACGACGCGACCGACGACGACCGACGGAGGUAGGUAG
Molecule: ribosomal RNA, 643 nt
Filed under: uncultured bacterium
Lineage: Bacteria
Description: bacterial SSU rRNA
Rfam family: Bacterial small subunit ribosomal RNA (bases 1-505)
Source: RNAcentral